Molecule: long non-coding RNA, 898 nt
Filed under: Homo sapiens (human)
Lineage: Eukaryota; Metazoa; Chordata; Mammalia; Primates; Hominidae
Description: HSALNT0092413
Source: RNAcentral
AAAAGCAAAAGGAUAAAGAGAUACAUCUCUUAAGUGUCCAUGGUGUUCUCAAGAAAUUGUAGAAUGUGCUGGACUGCAAAAUCCUGAGAUGGGGCUGUACUGAAACCAGAAGCCUGCCAGAUGGAAAAUAUGAACCACUGUCAAGCAGACCUGGGACAAGGGGGAACUGAGGACUGAGCUCUGACCAUUGCUCUUUGUUCUAAGUUGAGCAGAGGGGCCUGGAGAGAGUCAUGCCUGCAGGCCAUCAAUCUUGCUAAAUUGGUCACAAUGGCUCAGUAUAUAUUGUGGCUUGGUCUCUUGACCUGACUCUGUGAUAGCAGCACACGGUGAUUAACAGGUUUCCUUAUCUUAACUAACACAUGUUAAAGCCAAACCUUAACACUCCUUUCUGCUAACCCCAAGUUUUUAGACAAAGGCUUACUCCCUUAACCAAUUGCAAAUCAAAGAAUCCCUGAAUUUACCUAUGACCCGUAAGCCCCUGCUUUAAGAUAUCCCACCUUUUGGGGCCAAACCAAUGUAUAAUCUUCAUGUAUUUAUUUACAGUUUUGUACAUAACUUCUGCUUUCCUAAAAUGUACCCCUGCCUUUAAAAAUCCUUGCUUGUUACCCAUCAAGGAAGUUCGUGUCUUAGGCAUUAACUGCCCAUUCUCCUUGUUUGCCACCCUUCUUUCUCUCGCUGCAAACCUCAGUGUCUGUGUUUGCUUUACUGCACCAGGUGAGUGGACGGUUCAGUAACAACUUGACUAUAGUAGAGUAUUAAUACACGAUUAUCAUGGUAAGUGUGUGAAUAUGUAGGUUAGGUCCGGUGUAUUGAGUGCAUUGAAAUAUGGCUAGAGGCAUAAUAUAGAGCUGCUUCAUGAAUAGUAUCACAACAAUAAUAAAAAAGACAUAAAAAAUAG